ACCGCUGUCGAUGGAUUCUAGUACAUGCUCGUUCAAUGUUAUUUAAUAUUAAUCAGCUUGCUACUCUUCUGACAAGCACUUGUUGAUUCACUCCUUCCUAUUAACAUAUGAUCUGUAUCCCUGUAUUGAUGGGAAUCAAUCUGAACAGACAUUCUCCAGUCAUUUCUCCUAGCAGACACAUGCUAGUCCAAUAUGGGCACUACCAUGUGUAUGUUAUGGCUGUUUAUACCUGUAAAUGCAUAGCAGUAGGAAAUCACCUAUUAUAAAAAAGGAUAAAUGGUGGUAGAGAAUCACGUAUUGGCAAUUUCUAAUACCUGUGAUAGAAAAUUACCUCUAGCUAUAAUAACUACAUGUAGUGGUCUCAGUUCCACAUCGAGCUCAAAAUAAAGAGCCAAACAACACUAGCGGAGUAUACACUAACAAUGAGAGGAUAGAUGAAUGAGAAUGGAGUUGCAGAGAAACAUGUACACAUGGUGUAUUUGGAAUGGGAGGCCAAGGGAAAGGGGGCUCCAGAUACCCAAUGUUGGGGACAAACAAAGUAGAUGCCAGCACCUGAACAUGUCAUCAGAAAGCUCAUUGCUUGCAAGGAAUGAGGUGAUGCAUUUUGCUCCUAAACUGAAACCUUGUGUAUGCACCACUCCAUAUAGGGCCUUUUACGUCAAUGCCACCAUUCUCAUUGUGCGGCUCUAUGCAGCACUGUGUGGUUAUUGAUAAAACAAAAAGUUGCAAUGAUUUGUUGUCCACCACAUUUUCAAUACCUCCAUCCAAAUGCCUCACAGAUGCCGCAAGCCUUGUGGUCCCAUCUACAUAUCCUUCCACGCAGCAUAGCUCUACGGAUAUAUCUCUGACAUUUUCGUAGGGUGUAUGCAUCGUGUGUUGGGAAUGGGAGGCCAAAAUAAGGAAAGUGGACACGACAUGUUGAAUAUGUUUGAGAUAAUCCUGUUCGUCGGCCGUCACUAUAAUAAUCUGUUGGUUUUUUCCUUCAAUGUGUAAUAAUGUGUGAUGUGCACAUGUAAUCUUCUAGAUUUUGUGGUUCUGAGGUGAUCUGUUAGAUCCACUAUUAGCUUCUGGUAUGACUAGU
This 1081-nucleotide long non-coding RNA is filed under the name Sorghum bicolor (sorghum). RNAcentral describes it as "long non-coding RNA (SBIC_LNC007634)". Lineage: Eukaryota; Viridiplantae; Streptophyta; Magnoliopsida; Poales; Poaceae. The record is from RNAcentral.